AUUGAACGCUGGCGGCAUGCCUUACACAUGCAAGUCGAACGGUAACAGGUCUUCGGAUGCUGACGAGUGGCGAACGGGUGAGUAAUACAUCGGAACGUGCCCGAUCGUGGGGGAUAACGAGGCGAAAGCUUUGCUAAUACCGCAUACGAUCUACGGAUGAAAGCGGGGGACCUUCGGACCUCGCGCGGACGGAGCGGCCGAUGGCAGAUUAGGUAGUUGGUGGGAUAAAAGCUUACCAAGCCGACGAUCUGUAGCUGGUCUGAGAGGAUGAUCAGCCACACUGGGACUGAGACACGGCCCAGACUCCUACGGGAGGCAGCAGUGGGGAAUUUUGGACAAUGGGCGAAAGCCUGAUCCAGCCAUGCCGCGUGCAGGAUGAAGGCCUUCGGGUUGUAAACUGCUUUUGUACGGAACGAAAAGCCUCUUUCUAAUAAAGAGGGGUCAUGACGGUACCGUAAGAAUAAGCACCGGCUAACUACGUG
Molecule: ribosomal RNA, 482 nt
Filed under: uncultured bacterium
Lineage: Bacteria
Description: partial 16S ribosomal RNA
Rfam family: Bacterial small subunit ribosomal RNA
Source: RNAcentral